This 411-nucleotide long non-coding RNA is filed under the name Ursus americanus (American black bear). RNAcentral's name for it is "lncRNA (ENSUAMG00000006247.1)". The record is from RNAcentral. Lineage: Eukaryota; Metazoa; Chordata; Mammalia; Carnivora; Ursidae.
GCUUAGUGGUCAGGAGUGGAGAUUAUUAUUUGUUUGAAACGGAUAGUGAAGAGGAGGAAGAGGAAGAAUUAAAAAAGGAAGAUGAAGAACUUCCAAGAAGGUCAGCUUUCCAGUUUGUUUACCAAGCCUGGAUCACUGACCCUAAAACAGCACUCCGACAGAGACGCAAAGAGAAAAAAAGGUCUGCAAGAGAAGAACAGAAGAGAAGGAGAAAAGGCUCUGGAGAGGGUCCUGUGGAGUGGGAAGACCGAGAGGAGGAACCAGUCAAAAAGAAAUCUGAUGGACCAGAUAAUAUCAUCAAGAGGAUAUUUAAUAUUUUGAAAUUCACCUGGGUUCUGUUUCUGGCAACAGUGGAUAGUUUCACAACUUGGCUUAACUCCAUUUCAAGGGAACAUAUUGAUAUAUCUACAG